UUUACAAUGAAGAGUUUGAUCCUGGCUCAGGAUGAACGCUAGCUACAGGCUUAACACAUGCAAGUCGAGGGGCAGCAUUUUAGUUUGCUUGCAAACUGAAGAUGGCGACCGGCGCACGGGUGAGUAACACGUAUCCAACCUACCGAUAACUCCGGAAUAGCCUUUCGAAAGAAAGAUUAAUACCGGAUAGCAUACGAAUAUCGCAUGAUAUUUUUAUUAAAGAAUUUCGGUUAUCGAUGGGGAUGCGUUCCAUUAGUUUGUUGGCGGGGUAACGGCCCACCAAGACUACGAUGGAUAGGGGUUCUGAGAGGAAGGUCCCCCACAUUGGAACUGAGACACGGUCCAAACUCCUACGGGAGGCAGCAGUGAGGAAUAUUGGUCAAUGGGCGAGAGCCUGAACCAGCCAAGUAGCGUGAAGGAUGAAGGCUCUAUGGGUCGUAAACUUCUUUUAUAUGGGAAUAAAGUUUUCCACGUGUGGAAUUUUGUAUGUACCAUAUGAAUAAGGAUCGGCUAACUCCGUGCCAGCAGCCGCGGUAAUACGGAGGAUCCGAGCGUUAUCCGGAUUUAUUGGGUUUAAAGGGAGCGUAGGUGGAUUGUUAAGUCAGUUGUGAAAGUUUGCGGCUCAACCGUAAAAUUGCAGUUGAAACUGGCAGUCUUGAGUACAGUAGAGGUGGGCGGAAUUCGUGGUGUAGCGGUGAAAUGCUUAGAUAUCACGAAGAACUCCGAUUGCGAAGGCAGCUCACUAGACUGUCACUGACACUGAUGCUCGAAAGUGUGGGUAUCAAACAGGAUUAGAUACCCUGGUAGUCCACACAGUAAACGAUGAAUACUCGCUGUUUGCGAUAUACAGUAAGCGGCCAAGCGAAAGCAUUAAGUAUUCCACCUGGGGAGUACGCCGGCAACGGUGAAACUCAAAGGAAUUGACGGGGGCCCGCACAAGCGGAGGAACAUGUGGUUUAAUUCGAUGAUACGCGAGGAACCUUACCCGGGCUUAAAUUGCAACAGAAUAUAUUGGAAACAGUAUAGCCGUAAGGCUGUUGUGAAGGUGCUGCAUGGUUGUCGUCAGCUCGUGCCGUGAGGUGUCGGCUUAAGUGCCAUAACGAGCGCAACCCUUAUCUUUAGUUACUAACAGGUUAUGCUGAGGACUCUAGAGAGACUGCCGUCGUAAGAUGUGAGGAAGGUGGGGAUGACGUCAAAUCAGCACGGCCCUUACGUCCGGGGCUACACACGUGUUACAAUGGGGGGUACAGAAGGCGGCUACCUGGUGACAGGAUGCUAAUCCCAAAAACCUCUCUCAGUUCGGAUCGAAGUCUGCAACCCGACUUCGUGAAGCUGGAUUCGCUAGUAAUCGCGCAUCAGCCAUGGCGCGGUGAAUACGUUCCCGGGCCUUGUACACACCGCCCGUCAAGCCAUGAAAGCCGGGGGUACCUGAAGUACGUAACCGCAAGGAGCGUCCUAGGGUAAAACUGGUAAUUGGGGCUAAGUCGUAACAAGGUAGCCGUACCGGAAGGUGCGGCUGGAACACCUCCUUUCUG
RNAcentral lists this ribosomal RNA (1535 nucleotides) under Bacteroides ovatus. RNAcentral describes it as "bacterial SSU rRNA". It matches the Rfam family "Bacterial small subunit ribosomal RNA". Lineage: Bacteria; Pseudomonadati; Bacteroidota; Bacteroidia; Bacteroidales; Bacteroidaceae. The record is from RNAcentral.